GGGUGCGAUCAUGCCAGCACUAAAGCACUAGAUCCCCUCAGAACUCUGAAGUUAAGUGUGCUUGGGUGAGUAGUACUAGGAUGGGUGACCUCCUGGGAAGUCAUCGUGUUGCAUCCC
This 117-nucleotide ribosomal RNA is filed under the name Oryza punctata. Lineage: Eukaryota; Viridiplantae; Streptophyta; Magnoliopsida; Poales; Poaceae. The record is from RNAcentral.